This 3446-nucleotide long non-coding RNA is filed under the name Macaca mulatta (Rhesus monkey). Its description in RNAcentral is "lncRNA (ENSMMUG00000060145.1)". Lineage: Eukaryota; Metazoa; Chordata; Mammalia; Primates; Cercopithecidae. The record is from RNAcentral.
CUUUUAUGAUAUCAUGUUAUGAGGAUGAAUUAAGAGGUUUUGCUAUUGGAUUUGAUGUAUUGUUUCAUGUUACGAUGUCCCACCACCACCUAUUUAACUUUUUCAGUUCUGCCAUCAGAAUGUUGGAGUGCCAUUACCAACUCUCUGCACCUCCUCCUGUCUUCCUCCUGGAGUUCUGGGCAAAACUGGAAUGGCUCGGGGAAUUCCUGUUUCAUGUACUGUUGGGUCCACUGAAUCUAAGUUUCUGGCAACAAAAGAACUAGACGGGCAAACAAUUUGAGGUAAGUGUGUGAGGUUAAUUUUUUCUUCGGCUCUCAAUGAAUAAGAGAUCUGAUGCAAAAACAACUCUGGCUAUGGAAGUGGGCCAUGUUGGCCAGGCUGGUCUCGAACUCCUGACCUCAGGUGAUGUGCCUGCCUUGGCCUCCUAAAGUGCCAGGAUUAUAGACAUGAGCCACUGCACCUGGCCAACAGGAUUUACUUUUGUUACAGCAUGUAUAUUUUGGUUGAUCCAGUGGAGUAAUUUCUUUAAUUUCAGCUAGGUGAUCUAGCCGUGGUUCUUAACUAUAUCACUCAGAAAGUAUCCUAAGAUCUGGCUGGGCAUGGUGGCUCAUGCCUGUAAUCCCAGCAGUUUGGGAGGCUGAGGCGGCAGAUCACGUGAGGCCAGGAGUCGGAGAGCAGUCUGGGCAAAUGGUAAAACCCUGUCUCUACUAAAAAUAAGAAAAUUAGCUGGGCGUGGUGGCCCCCCUGUAGUCCCAGCUAUUCGGGAGGCUGAGAUAGGAGAAUCACUUGAACCCGGGAGGCGGAGGUUGCAGUGAGCUGAGAUCGCACCACUACACUCCAACCUGGGUGACUGAGUGAGAUUCUGUCUCAGAAAAAAAAAAUGUAUCCUAAGAUCUGAGCAGUCAAGUUUUUCAUUGCUGCAUCGGUUUGACAGGUGGUGUAUUCUUUUUUUUUUUUUUGAGACGGAGUCUCGCUCUGUCACCCAGGCUGGAGUGCAGUGGCCGGAUCUCAGCUCACUGCAAGCUCCGCCUCCCGGGUUCACGCCAUUCUCCUGCCUCAGCCUCCUGAGUAGCUGGGACUACAGGCGCCUGCCACCUCGCCCGGCUAAGUUUUUGUAUUUUUAGUAGAGACGGGGUUUCACUGUGUUAGCCAGGAUGGUCUCGAUCUCCUGACCUCGUGAUCCGCCCGUCUCGGCCUCCCAAAGUGCUGGGAUUACAGGCUUGAGCCACCGCGCCCGGCCAACAGGUGGUGUAUUCUUUACAUGUCAAUAUCGUAAUGGGGCGUUAAUGCAGGACUGUCUGCCAUGGACCUAAUUGCCAUUCACUUUCAACAAACAUCUCACGAAUUCUUACUAUGUUCCAGAACUUCUCAAUAGAAGGACUCGUUUGUGUCAUAGUGGUGCUCCUUCAACCUUUUCCUGCCUUCCAGGUAUCCAUGUAAAUAUUGCUGUUUGGCAGUUUCUUCUAGAGCUGGAACCCAACAGGGUUUCCCAACUUUACGACUUUCAAAGGGUGGUAUCCCUGCCAACUGACACUAGAGGGCGCCCAACUGCCAGUAACAAAUUUGGGCGCUGGGAUUUAGGGCACUGUUUGAAAACUGGUUUUACUCUUUUCAGUAAAAAACAGUUGCACAACUCCAUCCUCCUCCCAAGGGGGCAUCAAAGGAGGAGACAGUCUAAUGUGGAGUAGACGUUGGUUUGUUUCCAUUAAGGCUUACUUUCUUAAAACCCAGGCUUUCGGAAUAUCCCUGAGAACAGCGAGUAACUUAUUAGUAACUGCAUAUCCUGGUUGUUACAUUUAAUCCCAUCCUGCUCUCAUCCACCACAUCCCUAUCUAAUUCCAUAAUAUCUCAGCAUGAAGCUCUCAAAAGGACUGGCUCCUUUCUAAACCUCAAAGGGCUUACAGACAGACCACUCCUGCUCUCAUUUUGCUCUCUGUUUUGUCUAAUGCCCCUUUUCCUUGAACACAGGCAAGCCUUAUCUCCCAUUUUGGUCCAGGACUAUCUGGCUACAGUGAAUUUGUUUGGUCUCAUUCUGUUAAUUCAGACUCCCUCUAACUCCACCAUUCCUUGUUGUCUGUUCUUUCCCUUCUUUGUUCCUGUUCAGUAUCGAGUUCUUACUCUUGCAUUUUCUAUCCAGGAAGAAGGGUGAAGUAUUUCUCAAGUGUUGACUAUGUGUCAGUUACUUUUCUUUAUGUCACUUACACCAUCGCAUGCAGAAGCUGGUAUGAAUAGCCCCAUUUUACGGAUGAGUACACUGAGGUUCAGGGUCAAGUCACCUGCCAGAGGUUGUGUACCUUGGAAGUAGUCAAGCUGGGAUUCAGUUCUAGGGUUUUUGGAUUUCCCUUUUUCUGCUACCACCCUCCUUCCUUAGAUUUUUUUUUUUUUUGAGAUGGAGUCUUGCUCAGACGCCCAGGCUGGAGUGCGGUGGCGCGAUCUUGGCUCACUGCAAGCUCCGCCUUCCGGGUUCAUGCCAUUCUCCUGCCUCAUUGGGACUACAAGUGCCCACCACUACGCCCGGCUAAUUUUUCUGUAUUUUUAGUAGAGACGGGGUUUCACCAUGUUAGCCAGGAUGGUCUUGAUCUCCUGACCUCGUGAUCCGCCCGUCUCGGCCUCCCAAAGUGCUGGGACCUUAGAUUUUUAUACUGUUUAAUAUUGUCAUCAGUGCUUCCAGUCAUAUUCCUUGUUUUUUUUCCUUGGUUUUGUCACAUGAAAGUUUAUCCAAAAUUCAUAAUUCAUGAUCAAAACUAGCUAAAGACAUUAUAAAACUGAAAAAGGACCUCAAUUCGGAUAGAAUUGUCCCUCCUACCCUCAUUAUAUCUCAGAACUUAAACCCAAAUUUGAGAUAGGAGUAGCUUUAGUCAUUAAGUAAAACCGGUUCUCAGUUCAGCCCGCAUUAUGAGACUUCACUUGAGGAGUCACUCCAGAGUAGCUAAUAUACAAGAUUUUUUUUUUUUUUUUUUCGUGUCUUGCUAUGUAGCUCAGGCUGGAGUACAGUGGUGUAAUCACGGUUCACUGGAGCCUUGACCUCUGGACUUAAGCAAUCCUCCCACCUCAGCCUUCAGGCUUCAUAUAAAUGUAGACGCACCAAACUGAAAAUUGAAUCUCUUCUAAUAGUCUUCAUUUUCUACUUGUCUAAUGCAGUUCUAAAGGAGAAAAUAGCCAUAGAAAUUUCUGAUAUUUAUUAUGAGUAGAUAAUUUUUAAAAACAGCUUAAUUGGGAUAUAAUUCAUAUACCAUACAAUUUACCCAAUAGUGUACAAAGCUGGGCAUUAUAGUGUACAAAGCUGGUUCCGUGGCUUCCAUCCAUCUCUCUUGCUGUGGUCACUUGAGGUGGGAGUAUCCUUUAGCCCAGGAGUCCAGCCUGGGCAACAUAGUGAGAUACUGUCUCUAAAAACAAACAAACAAACAAACAAAAUACACAGUUCAAUAGUGUUUAGUAUAUCCAGA